Molecule: ribosomal RNA, 482 nt
Filed under: uncultured bacterium
Lineage: Bacteria
Description: bacterial SSU rRNA
Rfam family: Bacterial small subunit ribosomal RNA
Source: RNAcentral
AACGAACGCUGGCGGCGGGCCUCAUACAUGCAAGUCGAGCGCGAAAGUCCGCAAGGAUGAGUAAAGCGGCGCACGGGUGAGUAACACGUGGAUAAUCUACCCCUUGGAUUGGAAUAACCUGUCGAAAGACGGGCUAAUGCCGAGUGAGCUUAUAGUUUCGUGGAGUUACUAUAAGGAAAGAUGGCGCAAGCUAUCGCCGAGGGAUGAGUCUGCGCCCCAUUAGUUAGUUGGUGGGGUAAUGGCUUACCAAGACAAUGAUGGGUACCUGGUUUGAGAGAAUGACCAGGCACACUGGAACUGAAACACGGUCCAGACUCCUACGGGAGGCAGCAGUAGGGAAUAUUGCGCAAUGGACGAAAGUCUGACGCAGCCACGCCGCGUGAGUGAGGAAGGCCUCGGGUUGUAAAGGACUCUGUCAACAGGGAAAAACGGACGUAUCCGGGGAAAGUUACGGGUAGGACGUGAUGGUACCUGUGGAGGAA